Molecule: long non-coding RNA, 199 nt
Filed under: Capsella rubella
Lineage: Eukaryota; Viridiplantae; Streptophyta; Magnoliopsida; Brassicales; Brassicaceae
Description: long non-coding RNA (CRUB_LNC003275)
Source: RNAcentral
UGCAGAUAAGUUUUAAUUUUUUCUUUUCUUUUUGUAGUUAAGACUUAAGAGACUUCAUGCAACAUUUUCCCAACUGGGCCGACUAUGGAUUGUCCUUCCAUGAAAGGCUUGUUUGAUAUACCACAACCUUGUCAAAUUUGUGGAGAUGCCUUGGAACAGAGAACACAAGUGAAGUGUCCAAUCAUGUACUUACUUGUAU